RNAcentral lists this unclassified non-coding RNA (1755 nucleotides) under Collembola environmental sample. Its description in RNAcentral is "sequence contains 18S rRNA gene, ITS1, 5.8S rRNA gene, ITS2, 28S rRNA gene". The stretch from base 566 to 1755 matches the Rfam family "Eukaryotic large subunit ribosomal RNA", at positions 1 to 961 of the family's 3401-position model. The record is from RNAcentral. Lineage: Eukaryota; Metazoa; Arthropoda; Collembola.
GGAAGGAUCAUUACCGAAACAAAAACAAAAAUGGCUCACCGCUCCGCUCCGGCGGUCGGUGAAUCCUCUGAAGCUGGCUCAACUUGAGACUCAUGGUUGUAGACCGGCGUAACCAAGUCUUCCUUGCCCUGCUUGCGCGGGGUGAGGGAGCACCGUUGAAAAUUUUGUAAACAUGAAAAUUUUGUAACCAAGCAAUAGAAAGAAACAAAAAGACGAAUGAAAACCUCGAGUGGUGGAUCACUCGGCUCGUGGGUCGAUGAAGAACGCAGCUAACUGCGUGCAGACGUGUGAACUGCAGGACACAUGAACACCGACAAUUUGAACGCAAAUGGCGGCCUGAAAUAAAUUUCAGGCCAUGUCUGGCUGAGGGUCGGAAACUUGACUAAAAGAAAGAUUGCUCAAGUGACGGGUCUUUGAAGACCUGGUCGGGGAACUUGUAUCAAUUCGUACCGUAACAUCCUGCGCGGUCGAGCCGAAGCAUGAAACUUUCUGCUAACUGGCCGGCCAUUAUGCGCGGUAGGAAACGAUGAUACAUGAGCUUUAUUCUUUUGAAGACUCAAAGUUGCGACCUCAGAGCAGGCAAGAUUACCCGCUAAAUUUAAGCAUAUUAAUAAGCGGAGGAAAAGAAACUAACAAGGAUUUCCUUAGUAACGGCGAGCGAAAAGGAACAAGUCCAGCGCUGAAUCUGGCAUCCCACGGGUGUCAUGAAAUGUGGCGUUUGGGACGAAACUUUCCCUGCGUUUGAUGGUUAUCCAAGUCCCUCUUGAACGGGGCCAUUGCCCAUAGAGGGUGCCAGGCCCGUACGAUAACAUUUGUACGCAGUGAGUUUUGUCCGUAGAGUCGGGUUGCUUGGGAGUGCAGCCCAAAUCAGGUGGUAAACUCCAUCUAAGACUAAAUAUGACCACGAGACCGAUAGCGAACAAGUACCGUGAGGGAAAGUUGAAAAGAACUUUGAAGAGAGAGUUAAAUAGUACGUGAAACCUCUCGGGGGUAAGCGGGCAGAACUUGCAAGUAUUGGUGGGAGACUCAAGCUCGGAGGCGGCGACUGUGGGGGCAAGGCUAGGUUGAGCUUCGGCGAGACCGACUUGUUCCUGCGGCUUGUUGUCGACGCGCAGCAUUUCUCCUUGCCAUUUGGGCUACGUGCAACUAAGCUGGCAUUUUAGGUGCUGGAUGUCUGCAAAAGCACUUGUGUUUUUGAGCUCCGGUUUCCGAAUGCUGCUGUGGUUGUUGUUGAACGCGAGCAGGCGUUUGCCGCGGUCAGUGCUUUGGACGAGUUGGGUACGCGUGAUGUGUGGACGGUUUCGUAGCAUGUUGCGCGUACUAAUUGCCGGUUCGAGGUAUUCUGGCCUUGCUCAUUGAUCGUAGCCUAAAACCUGUGUGGUCUGCCUGUCCCGUCUUGAAACACGGACCAAGGAGUCUAACAUGUACGCGAGUCAUUGGGAAGAGAAACUCAAAGGCGUAAUGAAAGUGAAGAUUCGUGUAUACGAAUUGAGGAGAGAUCAAGGCAUGACUUGAAAUGCUGAAAAGUUUGGCGAGUUGAAUGUUUGCGCAUCUCCUGGACGUCUAUACCUUCGAAGGUGGGGCGUACCUAGAGCGUACACGUUGGGACCCGAAAGAUGGUGAACUAUGCCUGGUCAGAACGAAGCCAGGGGAAACCCUGGUGGAGGUUCGUAGCGAUUCUGACGUGCAAAUCGAUCGUCGGAACUGGGUAUAGGGGCGAAAGACUAAUCGAACCAUCUAGUAGCUGGUUCCUUC